CGGCUAACUUCGUGCCAGCAGCCGCGGUAAUACGAAGGGUGCAAGCGUUACUCGGAAUUACUGGGCGUAAAGAGCUCGUAGGCGGUUCAGCAAGUCGGCUGUGAAAGUCCGAGGCUCAACCUCGGAAUUGCAGUCGAUACUGCUGUGACUCGAGUCCGGUAGAGGAGAAUGGAAUUCUCGGUGUAGCGGUGAAAUGCGCAGAUAUCGAGAGGAACACCAGUAGCGAAGGCGGUUCUCUGGGCCGGCACUGACGCUGAGGAGCGAAAGCGUGGGGAGCAAAC
This 281-nucleotide ribosomal RNA is filed under the name uncultured bacterium. RNAcentral describes it as "partial 16S ribosomal RNA". It matches the Rfam family "Bacterial small subunit ribosomal RNA", at positions 494 to 773 of the family's 1533-position model. The record is from RNAcentral.